CCUUUUAAAGCUUGCUUUUGAAAGGUCAGCGGCGGACGGGUGAGUAACACGUGGGCAACCUGCCUGUAAGACUGGGAUAACUUCGGGAAACCGGAGCUAAUACCGGAUAAUAUAAGGAACCUCCUGGUUCUUUAUUGAAAGAUGGUUUCGGCUAUCACUUACAGAUGGGCCCGCGGCGCAUUAGCUAGUUGGUGAGGUAACGGCUCACCAAGGCGACGAUGCGUAGCCGACCUGAGAGGGUGAUCGGCCACACUGGGACUGAGACACGGCCCAGACUCCUACGGGAGGCAGCAGUAGGGAAUCUUCCACAAUGGACGAAAGUCUGAUGGAGCAACGCCGCGUGAGCGAUGAAGGCCUUCGGGUCGUAAAGCUCUGUUGUUAGGGAAGAACAAGUGCGAGAGUAACUGCUCGCACCUUGACGGUACCUAACCAGAAAGCCACGGCUAACUACGUGCCAGCAGCCGCGGUAAUACGUAGGUGGCAAGCGUUGUCCGGAAUUAUUGGGCGUAAAGCGCGCGCAGGUGGUCCUUUAAGUCUGAUGUGAAAGCCCACGGCUCAACCGUGGAGGGUCAUUGGAAACUGGGGGACUUGAGUGCAGAAGAGGAAAGUGGAAUUCCAAGUGUAGCGGUGAAAUGCGUAGAGAUUUGGAGGAACACCAGUGGCGAAGGCGACUUUCUGGUCUGUAACUGACACUGAGGCGCGAAAGCGUGGGGAGCAAACAGGAUUAGAUACCCUGGUAGUCCACGCCGUAAACGAUGAGUGCUAAGUGUUAGAGGGUUUCCGCCCUUUAGUGCUGCAGCUAACGCAUUAAGCACUCCGCCUGGGGAGUACGGUCGCAAGACUGAAACUCAAAGGAAUUGACGGGGGCCCGCACAAGCG
RNAcentral lists this ribosomal RNA (879 nucleotides) under Sutcliffiella horikoshii. Its description in RNAcentral is "bacterial SSU rRNA". It matches the Rfam family "Bacterial small subunit ribosomal RNA", at positions 69 to 931 of the family's 1533-position model. The record is from RNAcentral. Lineage: Bacteria; Bacillati; Bacillota; Bacilli; Caryophanales; Bacillaceae.